UGAACGCUGGCGGCAUGCCUUACACAUGCAAGUCGAACGGUAACGGGCCUUCGGGUGCCGGACGAGUGGCGAACGGGUGAGUAAUAUAUCGGAACGUACCUUUCAGUGGGGGAUAACGUAGCGAAAGUUACGCUAAUACCGCAUAUUCUGUGCGCAGGAAAGCAGGGGACCUUCGGGCCUUGCGCUGAUUGAGCGGCCGAUAUCAGAUUAGCUAGUUGGUGAGGUAAAGGCUCACCAAGGCGACGAUCUGUAGCGGGUCUGAGAGGAUGAUCCGCCACACUGGAACUGAGACACGGUCCAGACUCCUACGGGAGGCAGCAGUGGGGAAUUUUCGGACAAUGGGGGCAACCCUGAUCCAGCAUGCCGCGUGUGUGAAGAAGGCCUCGGUUGUAAGCACUU
This 399-nucleotide ribosomal RNA is filed under the name uncultured Dechloromonas sp. RNAcentral describes it as "bacterial SSU rRNA". It matches the Rfam family "Bacterial small subunit ribosomal RNA", at positions 30 to 435 of the family's 1533-position model. Lineage: Bacteria; Pseudomonadati; Pseudomonadota; Betaproteobacteria; Rhodocyclales; Azonexaceae. The record is from RNAcentral.